GUAGCUGGGUUGUUAAGUCUCUUGGGAAAUCUGGCGGCUUAACCGUCAGGCGUCUAAGGGAUACUGGCAAUCUUGGAACCGGGAGAGGUGAGGGGUACUUCGGGGGUAGGAGUGAAAUCCUGUAAUCCUCGAGGGACCACCUGUGGCGAAGGCGCCUCACCAGAACGGCUUCGACAGUGAGGGACGAAAGCUGGGGGAGCAAACCGGAUUAGAUACCCGGGUAGUCCCAGCCGUAAACUAUGCGCGUUAGGUGUAUCGGUGACCACGAGUUACCGAGGUGCCGAAGGGAAACCGUGAAACGUGCCGCCUGGGAAGUACGGUCGCAAGGCUGAAACUUAAAGGAAUUGGCGGGGGAGCACCACAACAGGUGGAGCCUGCGGUUUAAUUGGACUCAACGCCGGGAAGCUCACCGGAUAGGACAGCAGAAUGAUUGCCGGGCUGAAGACCCUGCAUGACUAGCUGAGAGGAGGUGCAUGGCCGUCGUCAGUUCGUACUGUGAAGCAUCCUGUUAAGUCAGGCAACGAGCAAGACCCACGCCAACAGUUGCCAGCAUGGUCUCCGGACUGAUGGGGACACUGUUGGGACCGCCUCUGCUAAAGAGGAGGAAGGAAUGGGCAACGGUAGGUCAGCAUGCCCCGAAUUAUCCGGGCUACACGCGGGCUACAAUGGGCAGGACAAUGGGCAUCGACACCGUGAGGUGGAGGCAAUCUCCUAAACCUGUCCUUAGUUCGGAUUGUGGGCUGAAACUCGCCCACAUGAAGCUGGAAUCUGUAGUAAUCGCGUUUCAAAAUAACGCGGUGAAUUUGUCCCUGCUCCUUGCACUCACCGCCCGUAA
This 835-nucleotide ribosomal RNA is filed under the name uncultured prokaryote. RNAcentral's name for it is "bacterial SSU rRNA". It matches the Rfam family "Archaeal small subunit ribosomal RNA", at positions 521 to 1355 of the family's 1478-position model. The record is from RNAcentral.